AGUGUAGGCGGUUUCGUAAGUCGGAUGUGAAAGCCCCGGGCUUAACCUGGGAAUGGCAUUCGAUACUGCGCGGCUAGAGUCUGAUAGAGGGAAGUGGAAUUCCAGGUGUAGCGGUGAAAUGCGUAGAGAUCUGGAGGAACACCAGUGGCGAGGGCGGCUUCCUGGAUCAAGACUGACGCUGAGGCUCGAAAGCGUGGGGAGCAAACA
Molecule: ribosomal RNA, 207 nt
Filed under: uncultured bacterium
Lineage: Bacteria
Description: partial 16S ribosomal RNA
Rfam family: Bacterial small subunit ribosomal RNA
Source: RNAcentral